This 462-nucleotide ribosomal RNA is filed under the name uncultured bacterium. RNAcentral describes it as "partial 16S ribosomal RNA". It matches the Rfam family "Bacterial small subunit ribosomal RNA", at positions 28 to 507 of the family's 1533-position model. The record is from RNAcentral.
GACGAACGCUGGCGGCGUGCUUAACACAUGCAAGUCGAGCGGAAAGGCCCUUCGGGGUACUCGAGCGGCGAACGGGUGAGUAACACGUGAGUAACCUGCCCCAGACUUUGGGAUAACCCUCGGAAACGGGGGCUAAUACCGGAUACGACACAGCUUCGCAUGGGGUCUGUGUGGAAAGUUUUUCGGUUUGGGAUGGGCUCGCGGCCUAUCAGCUUGUUGGUGGGGUGAUGGCCUACCAAGGCGACGACGGGUAGCCGGCCUGAGAGGGCGACCGGCCACAAUGGGACUGAGACACGGCCCAGACUCCUACGGGAGGCAGCAGUGGGGAAUAUUGCACAAUGGGCGGAAGCCUGAUGCAGCGACGCCGCGUGAGGGAUGACGGCCUUCGGGUUGUAAACCUCUUUCAGCAGGGACGAAGCGUAAGUGACGGUACCUGCAGAAGAAGCGCCGGCCAACUACGUG